RNAcentral lists this ribosomal RNA (412 nucleotides) under 2,4-D-degrading bacterium 1172. RNAcentral's name for it is "bacterial SSU rRNA". It matches the Rfam family "Bacterial small subunit ribosomal RNA", at positions 81 to 489 of the family's 1533-position model. Lineage: Bacteria; Pseudomonadati; Pseudomonadota; Betaproteobacteria; Burkholderiales. The record is from RNAcentral.
GGCUUGGCGGGCGAGUGGCGAACGGGUGAGUAAUACAUCGGAANGUGCCCUGUCGUGGGGGAUAACUAGUCGAAAGAUUAGCUAAUACCGCAUACGACCUGAGGGUGAAAGCGGGGGACCGUAAGGCCUCGCGCGAUAGGAGCGGCCGAUGUCUGAUUAGCUAGUUGGUGGGGUAAANGCCUACCAAGGCGACGAUCAGUAGCUGGUCUGAGAGGACGAUCAGCCACACUGGGACUGAGACACGGCCCAGACUCCUACGGGAGGCAGCAGUGGGGAAUUUUGGACAAUGGGGGCAACCCUGAUCCAGCAAUGCCGCGUGUGUGAAGAAGGCCUUCGGGUUGUAAAGCACUUUUGUCCGGAAAGAAAUGGCCUGGGCUAAUACCCCGGGUUGAUGACGUUACCGGNAGAAUAA